Molecule: long non-coding RNA, 395 nt
Filed under: Trifolium pratense (red clover)
Lineage: Eukaryota; Viridiplantae; Streptophyta; Magnoliopsida; Fabales; Fabaceae
Description: long non-coding RNA (TPRA_LNC012442)
Source: RNAcentral
AAUGGAUUUCACUAUAAUCACACAAGAUUACAAUUGCUCAAGCACACAAGCAAGAGACUUCACCACAAUGCUUAAGCACACAAGCUUAAGACUUCUCAAACUAACAGAGUAAAUAAAAUUUGUUGAUUGUAAUACAACUGCUCUUAAGAGAACCUUAAAGAUCAAAUACAAUGAGUAUAUAAAACUACAAAGUAUUUGGACUACGAGUUAAAAACACUAGUUCAGAGGUUCAGAGCUUGUAUUCGCAAAUAUGAAAUUGUUCGAGCGCGUGUGUAAUACUUGAUAUCUUGCAAACUGAUUCUUCUAGUAUAUAUAGGACUAAGAAAGAGUCGUUGCAAAGAUGACCGUUGAUGAAGAUAACCUUUUGUCUUCAAGCAACUUGUCUUGAUGUAGAU